UGCUUGUGGAAAUCCUUGUGGUCAAAGAUAAUGGAUAUUAAUGGAACAUGGGUGUAAGAUUUUCGUUUGGCUUUUUCUUGUUCAUUUCUGUUUCUGCAGUCUUGUUUUUUGUUUUGGGGGAGUUCAGGUGGAGAUUGAUCAUUUUUCAUGGGGUGGUGUGAAGGGAAAAUUAUUCGACGUUAACUUGUGCCUACAUUUGCAUUGGUGGUUCCCCCUCUCUAGCAUAGCUAUAUUUGCAUUGGUGGUUCCCCCUCUCUAGCAUAGAUGAAUGAAGCAUAGAUUGUAGACUUUUUUAGGUCUUCUCGUAUAAAAUGCCUUGGGAACUUGAUCUUUCUCCAUGUGCAGACAGAUUGACACGAAGUGGACAAUGCUUAUAGGAAAACUAUUGAGAUUUGAGUUUUUGCUUGUUUUGCUUUACAAAUUAUAUGGCUGUCCACCUUUCUAAGCAAGUCAUGAUCAACUUUUCCUCUCCUUGAUGGUCUUGUUUUUUCCGUUAUUUCUUGCCACCCCAUUGAUGCAACAAGGAUUUUAUUAAAAGUUUAUUCAAGGCGAAAGACUAAUAAUUAGUAGAAUUCGAGUUUAUUUAGUAGUUUUAUUUUGAUAAUGUGUUCCUCCUUAUUUCUUAUUGUUCCUUAUCAAUUUGUAUGCUUCUGCAUCACCCAUAUUUCAAAUCAAGUUGGAAAUCCGAAAGCACUUUGGAUUUAGCAUCACAUAGCAAUUUAAAAUAUGCAUUAAAUUAUUAUUAUUGUUAUUAUUAUUAUUAUUAUUAUUAUUAGUAUUAGUAUUAUUCAGGUUGAUCAAAUUCUUCCCGCAUGCAUUUUUGUUCUAGUGAGUGUAAAUGGGGCAUGUUGACAAAUACUUAAGAAUCUUUGGAUCAGGGUUUUUUGGUUCCAUUGUCUGUAGGCGUUAAUUGAGGCCAUUAAUUGUUCCUGAAAUGGCGGUUCACUCCUAGGUAAUAUCACUAAAUCCUUAGUCAGUGCAUGAAAUAUAUAAAUCCUGGGUGUUGCUCAUACAUAUAACUUCGGUUUUGGUUCCAUCAGCUUUAGCCAGCACCUUGUUACUGAGGGGAUAUUUCCAAAAAUAAAGGUUUAAUAUCAGAAUUAAGUGUUGCAUGUUGGAUCUCCUUUCUCAAAUACGUCUGUCAUGUAAGCUUAGUGUUUGAAGUACAAUGCAGUUCUGAAGCAUAUUUAUUUGCUGCAGUUUAUACGUUGUUUUGAAUAUGGUGUUUUUCAAAUGCAGAAAUUUGUAGGAAUCCUUGGAGAAAAGACAAGAUUUUGUCCUCAUGUUUUUGAUUUGCAUUAAUAGAAUUUGAUGUCUCUUUUUAGAUGAUGGUAUCCUAUCAUUGUCAAUCUUUUUAUGCCUGAUUCUCUUACUAUACCUAGAUUUUCAUCCCCUAUUUAUUCCCCCUCGCUCAGAUUUUCUCUGUAAAUUGAGUUGUGAAGUUUUCAGUUUGUUUAUGAUAUGGAGUUGUUGGACUCGAAUUUGCAGCUUGAAUCUACGUAUUUGGUUUAAAUACUAUGACCUCGACUUCCCUCGUAAAAAUAAAUGGGCAGUUGUUGACUGGAAAGUGGUGUUACAGCGUAGGUGAAGAAUUGUUUUGUUAAGGACGAAGAUUUUGUCUGGUCUUUAUUUUUCAUGUUCUCAGCAGUCCCAGUUUGUCUUUCGGGGGAGUUCAGAUGGAUUGGUCAUUUUGUAGGGUAGCACGAAGGGAUACUUAUUCUUUGUUAACUGCAGCUACAUUUGCAGUGGUGAUUUCUUCCAACCUGUUCCAAUAUCUGCUCUACAUGAAUGAACUGUAUACUUUUUGACGUCUUUUUAUAUAUAAUGCCUCAGGUUCUUUGAUGCAUGUGCCUGACAGAUUGACAUGAAAAGGGCAGUGCGUGAUAGGAAUACUAAUGUCUAAGUUACUGUGUUUUUGCUUCCUGAUAUUUUGGCCUUUCUGAAGGAGUUUGUCCUGUCUGUCUUUCUAACAAGUCAUGAUGCUGUCCAUCUAUUUCAGUCUGUUGUUUGCUAAUACACUUGUUCAGAUUUGCAUCUUUCCUCUGGUGAAUUAGGUUAAUAUUUUAGGUAUGCAUUUGUACAAGAGCCUUUGGGGCGUUGGUAUUCCAUGUGCAGACAAAGAUUCUUUGAGGAUGAUAAAAUAUUUUUUUGAUUGUUACACCACAAAGAGAAUGCAUGGGAUUCUUGGAGUGAGAGUGAACACAGCUUCUGCUGCUGGAGGCCGUUUAGAUACUGAAAAUAUUUUCAAUGGUCUGGUGGACUCUACACCCUACCUUAACUCUCUUUCUGCCAAUUGACUACAUCAGAUUAACAUAUUUUUUUCUCCACUAUUGUUGAGUUCAUGGAUUUCUUUUGCCCUGGUAGUUAGACGUUGCCUUAUAGACUUUUUAACCCUUGUGGGUAGCUUUGUGUUUUAUUAGAAUUGUGAAGUUAGGUUGCAAACCCAAGUGCAGGUUGCAAGUAGUAAACUCGGAAGUCCGAGGUCGAACCACAGGGAAUUGGAAGGAAAUAAACUAGUCUAUGAGUAGUGAAUAGCGAGGAAAUACGAUGGAGAAGUCUAGCGUUGGGGGAUUCACUUCGGCUAAAUGGGUAGAAAUUGCUCUUAAUCUUUUAUUUAACUCAUAUGGAAAUCAACUAAGGAGUGAUC
This 2647-nucleotide long non-coding RNA is filed under the name Olea europaea subsp. europaea. Lineage: Eukaryota; Viridiplantae; Streptophyta; Magnoliopsida; Lamiales; Oleaceae. The record is from RNAcentral.